RNAcentral lists this ribosomal RNA (449 nucleotides) under uncultured bacterium. RNAcentral describes it as "partial 16S ribosomal RNA". It matches the Rfam family "Bacterial small subunit ribosomal RNA", at positions 29 to 523 of the family's 1533-position model. The record is from RNAcentral.
AGUGAACGCUGGCGGUAGGCCUAACACAUGCAAGUCGAACGAGAUCUUCGGGUCUAGUGGCGCACGGGUGCGUAACGCGUGGGAAUCUGCCCUUUGGUUCGGAAUAACAGUUGGAAACGACUGCUAAUACCGGAUGAUGACGAAAGUCCAAAGAUUUAUCGCCAGGGGAUGAGCCCGCGUAGGAUUAGCUAGUUGGUGGGGUAAAGGCGCACCAAGGCGACGAUCCUUAGCUGGUCUGAGAGGAUGAUCAGCCACACUGGGACUGAGACACGGCCCAGACUCCUACGGGAGGCAGCAGUGGGGAAUAUUGGACAAUGGGCGAAAGCCUGAUCCAGCAAUGCCGCGUGAGUGAUGAAGGCCUUAGGGUUGUAAAGCUCUUUUACCCGGGAUGAUAAUGACAGUACCGGGAGAAUAAGCUCCGGCUAACUCCGUGCCAGCCGCCGCAGUAA